Molecule: ribosomal RNA, 440 nt
Filed under: uncultured bacterium
Lineage: Bacteria
Description: partial 16S ribosomal RNA
Rfam family: Bacterial small subunit ribosomal RNA
Source: RNAcentral
CCUACGGGAGGCAGCAGUGGGGGAUAUUGCACAAUGGGGGGAACCCUGAUGCAGCGACGCCGCGUGGGUGAAGAAGCGCCUCGGCGCGUAAAGCCCUGUCAGCAGGGAAGAAAAUGACGGUACCUGAAGAAGAAGCCCCGGCUAACUACGUGCCAGCAGCCGCGGUAAUACGUAGGGGGCAAGCGUUAUCCGGAUUUACUGGGUGUAAAGGGGGCGCAGACGGCGUUGCAAGCCAGGAGUGAAAGCCCGGGGCUCAACCCCGGGACUGCUCUUGGAACUGCGUGGCUGGAGUGCAGGAGGGGUAGGCGGAAUUCCUGGUGUAGCGGUGAAAUGCGUAGAUAUCAGGAGGAACACCGGUGGCGAAGGUGGCCUGCUGGACUGCAACUGACGUUGAGGCCCGAAAGCGUGGGGAGCAAACAGGAUUAGAUACCCGAGUAGUC